AAAAUCUACCAAGUGGACGAAAGGAAUUAGCGGCGACACAAUUAAGUUGAACGUAAACGUGAAAAUUGUGUAUGCAGUCUAGCUGUUUGACGCAGCAACAAACCCAUUGGGAGUACGGAAUUUUUUCCUGUUUGAAAAUAACGUGAUGUCAUCGCUGGCGAUUUAAGUGCAUGUUAGCUCAGACAUCACGGUCUGGAGUGAAUGUCCAAAAACUUUGAAGUUUUUUUUAACUGUUGGAACUGUGCGAGUUUUAAAGUGUCGAAGCUCUGAGCAAUGGUUCAUAUUAAUCUUUAUAUUUCGAUUUUGUUUUUACAAAAAAAUGCACACAUGUAUUCGCUCAGUACAAUACGACGCAUGCAUAACUGAGCAUUUUAUUGCUAUAAUUAGACAAUAUAACACUAAAGUUCUGUGUUUUGAGUAAAGAUCUUUAGCUAAUCCUGGCACUAAGAAAAUUAUUGUACGCUAAGAAACAAUAAUUUAGGGCAACUGUGUAGCAAUGUUUUUCUUGUGGUUUUUGAUAAGUUCUCCCUUCCUUUGAUAGCGUUUCGCGUGUAAAAGAGAAUUAGGUCUUUAGCGGCAUUUGGGCAAAACUUUCCGCAUUCACGAGAAGACAAACAAACACAUUUAAUAGUUGUCCGGGUUAAUUAAGUUUAGGCGGUUAAUAUAGCUUCAACAACAUAACACAACCUGGAGCUGUUUAAAGUACUGCCACACUAGUUAUAUUGAUGAAUAUAAAUGACAAAAUCUUAAUAAGGCAGUGUAUAUGUUCACUUGUUGAAAAAACCUCUCGUUACGCGCAGUCUUUGAUCUUAGCUUUCUCUCCCUUUUUCCGCUUUCGUCUAAAAUACCCUGGGGCCUUUACUGAUCAAAGAAGCAAUGAUAACGACGUCUGUAAUUGAAUUUUCAACAGAAAAAAUGUAUUCCCAGGUGCAAAAUGUAUCAAUAUAUCAGCUAUAUUUAUUGUUAGAGGUAGCCAUAUUUGAUUGUUUGCUGUAUUUGUGAGAUGUUUGUUGUGUUGCUAAUGCACGCGGUGGUCGCGUGUGCUUUUAUAUUUCUCAGACAAGAAACGUCUUAGACCGAAAACUCCCACGUUUAAGUCGCGGAAAUCUUUCUAUCACGGUUUUUUCACUAAAAUCUGGUCAAUAUUUGCCGGUAAGUAACAACCGUAAUUAUGUAUCGAGGAAAAAAGUGCCGAUUGCUCGUUUUGCCUGUUGCUAUGGAUACAGAUGUGUACAUGACAGUUCGGCGCGUGAAUAUAAUUAAAUUACAAUUCUGUUUACAACUGAAAUCUCAAGACAGCUUUUCUUCUAAUUCCCGCAAUGUGAAUGUUUAAUAUUGCGAGGAUAAACGCUAUAACUCUUGGUCUCGCUCACCACCUGGCGCUGACCAAUCAGCAUCAUUCUUUCAAAGGCGAGUAGUGAGGGAUUUUUGGGGGUGGGGAGGGAGAGGUUGAGAAUGACAACAGGACACAAAACGGCGGGAAUCCGAGCUUAUAGACUUUGGUCUUCAGAGAAUGUUUUCUUCUAUAGAAUGUUUUCGUCUCAGGAAAAACAUCACUAUUGGCAUCAUCACAGCCUGAGUGAUACGUGACUUUAAAGACAAAUAAGCGGAUCAAUACAGCAGGUUUAAUUACUUUAUGCCUUGGUCUGUGAAGUGAAGUGGAGUUAAUUCGGCAUCGAUAAGUUGGAUAUUGCUGCGUCUUUUCGCACGCAUAACUGACGUAUUCAAUUCAAGGAUUUUAACUACAGGCGGCUAUAUUACGUGAGUCGUGGGACUUGCUUACGUUCGAACGAAUCAGUUAAAUAAUACAUUUGAUUUGAACGCUUCACUUCAGUCGAAUGCAUUACUCUUUGGAUCUUUAAACACAAUCUUUUACACUCUGACUUAACAUUGACGAUGUACUCUUCUGUGGUCAUCAGGCAUAACACAAGAACGACAGUUUAACGAUGUAUACUACUAACUUAUAUUGGCUUAAAAACUGCAUGCAUAAGCGCGACACACGCACAAAACAAAAUUAGUGACGCUUAUAACUUUUUGUUCUAGAACACUCUACCGUACAUAUUUUUGAGUAGUCAGUCUUGUAAAUCGGAUAGGGAUGGAUUGAGGGUAGCCGAAUUUCAGCAAAAUGGCUGGAAUCAGAACCUAAUAUUCCACUCCUUAGCUAGAGUGUUAACAGUAGUAGAAAAAACCCAUUUGAAGAUCUAAGAGUAUCUAAGUGCGAUACUUUGGCAGACUAAUGCUCGAUGAAGAGACUGGUUAACUGGGUUUGCGACGAAUUAUCGGACAACUCACUGAAGCUUUGUGAUGACAAACUCAACCCGUGUACCCGUAAUGAUGUAAUGUUUUCACGUAAAAGUGCUUCUUUUAACUUAUUCCUGGUUAUCUCUCACUUCACUUCGACUUUCACAAUCUCUAUAUACACGUCAAUCACGUCAUUUCAACUUCACUGUAGGUCACGUGACGUGUGGGUGGACUACGUCUUCGAUAGCACAUCUUGCCGGGAAAUGUUUACGUUCGUCGCUUAGAGUCCCCUUCAAUCCUCUCUAGAAUUGUUCAUCUAUUAAACUAAUGCAUGAUUUGAAGUUGACUUGAUUCGACGAAAAAAUUUUAUGUAUCGUGUAAAGUGAUGUUUGUUUAAAUUUGUGUGGGAGCUGAUACACUGACGUCUCUUAAAUGUAGAUCGUUAAAACCAAUUUAUGACCAAGCGGUUUCCUGUGUGGUAUUGAGAGUUCUAUUGAAUUCUAAACGACUUCUUUGUAGUCACGUAUUUAGCUCGUUGCAAACUGAAUGAUUACAUUAAAAUUUUCCUUAUCACAGAUCUGCUUGUACCGCGUGCGUCCAGUAUAUUUCUGUGAGUCUUUCGAUGCUUUGGCGAGCUCGUAGCCUCUUCCAGGCCUUCAGUGAGUUGGGGCGCAACGAGAAAAAACGGCGGGCGAAAAAAGGAGAGAGGGGUUUGGUGCAACAGGCGAAGACCGUGACUAUAGUUAUACACUCUAACAUCAGGUUUCUAAUACAGUGAGAGAUCUACAGGAGCAGGAGCAGGAGCAGGAGCAGGAGCAGGAGCAGGAGCAGUAAUUACACUAGUCCAGUCACGCAAUGUUACGAAGCACUGCAUGACAGAGGGAGGACGAGAACAGGACUCCACUUUCACUAGUGUUUAUUUAUUCUUUAACAUCGUGCCUGCUUGAGCAGUAGUACCACUGGUGUUUAUUAUUUGUCGACUCUAGGAGUGCUGGACCAUCGUAGUAAUAGCCUUCUUAAUUAUUUUCGAAGUUACAGGUGUAUCGCGGUACGAUGGGACUUGUACGAAAAGUUGAACUUCUUAUCAAGUACUAUGUGACGCUACGGGAGCAGAAGAAUUUUGUCACGCAAUUGUGAAGAUGUUGUUCCUGCAAUCUAUUAAUGCUACUGAAGAACUGAAACUCAAGAAUUUGUUUUGCUUUUAAUUUAUCUCUAUGAAGUUGCGUUGCCGUUCAUCAUUGUUAUGAAAAAAGGUUCUAUGUAAACAGGAAUCAGGUUUUUCUGCAAAUACAUUGAAUUGAAAUUGGUACAUUUCAAUUUAUCGUUCUUAUUAGAUGUCGAUGACAUGGUGAAAAUUCGCACUCCACUCAUUAUCUGCAACUGAUGAUGCACAAGAGGAGGACUACAGAACUAACAAAUGGCACAGAAACUGAAAACUUAAGGAAUAUUGCGCGAAUAUGUAGAGCCUGUUAGAUUAAAGCUCUCAAAAUGCUGGUUCAG
RNAcentral lists this long non-coding RNA (3741 nucleotides) under Orbicella faveolata. RNAcentral's name for it is "uncharacterized LOC110061106". The record is from RNAcentral. Lineage: Eukaryota; Metazoa; Cnidaria; Anthozoa; Scleractinia; Merulinidae.